AUUGAACGCUGGCGGCAUGCUUUACACAUGCAAGUCGAACGGCAGCGGGGGCUUCGGCCUGCCGGCGAGUGGCGAACGGGUGAGUAAUGCAUCGGAACGUGCCCAUGUCGUGGGGGAUAACUACGCGAAAGCGUGGCUAAUACCGCAUACGCCCUGAGGGGGAAAGCGGGGGAUCUUUCGGGACCUCGCGCGCUUGGAGCGGCCGAUGUCGGAUUAGCUAGUUGGUGGGGUAAACGCUCACCAAGGCGACGAUCAGUAGCUGGUCUGAGAGGAUGAUCAGCCACACUGGGACUGAGACACGGCCCAGACUCCUACGGGAGGCAGCAGUGGGGAAUUUUGGACAAUGGGCGCAAGCCUGAUCCAGCCAUGCCGCGUGAGUGAAGAAGGCCUUCGGGUUGUAAAGCUCUUUCGGCCGGGAAGAAAUCGCAUUCUCUAAUAUAGGAUGUGGAUGACGGUACCGGACUAAGAAGCACCGGCUAACUACGUGCCAGCAGCCGCCGUAA
Molecule: ribosomal RNA, 503 nt
Filed under: uncultured bacterium
Lineage: Bacteria
Description: partial 16S ribosomal RNA
Rfam family: Bacterial small subunit ribosomal RNA
Source: RNAcentral